Molecule: unclassified non-coding RNA, 406 nt
Filed under: uncultured Rhizophagus
Lineage: Eukaryota; Fungi; Glomeromycota; Glomeromycetes; Glomerales; Glomeraceae
Description: sequence contains 28S rRNA gene
Source: RNAcentral
AGUUAAACAGUACGUGAAAUUGUUGAAAGGGAAACGAUUGAAGCCAGUCGUACCUUCGGGUAAUCAGCCUUUCGGGUGCGAUUCUGUGGGGUUUGAGGAGCUUAACACCUUCAUGCUUUGCAUAUUCGUGCUCUUGGGUGUACUUGCCCGUGUGGUUGGUUAACAUCAAUUUCGGGCACCAUAAAAUGGCUGGAGGAAUGUAGCUUCGAUCUUGUAUUGAAGUGUUAUAGCCUUCGGUAGAUGUGGUGAUCGAGAUUGAGGAUUGCAACGGAUACCUUUCGGGGCUACCUGUCUGAUCUCUGAUCGUUGUUUUGGUGCUGAAAGCGUGCUUAUAGUUAUCAAAGUCGAUGGUCAAUAGGUUAGAAUGGGUUAAAUUCGUUAAGGAUGUUGACGUAAUGGCUUUAAA